GCCUUUGAUGUCAUGAUGUUUGCUGAAUAGGCAAACGUAUGCCUGAUAUCUGUUGAUAUUUCUCAUGAACUAAGACGGUCUGAGGU
Molecule: small nucleolar RNA, 86 nt
Filed under: Dichanthelium oligosanthes
Lineage: Eukaryota; Viridiplantae; Streptophyta; Magnoliopsida; Poales; Poaceae
Description: Small nucleolar RNA snoR20a
Rfam family: Small nucleolar RNA snoR20a
About the family: The O.sativum sequence was obtained from the plant snoRNA database.
Source: Rfam by way of RNAcentral